Molecule: transfer RNA, 74 nt
Filed under: Formosimonas limnophila
Lineage: Bacteria; Pseudomonadati; Pseudomonadota; Betaproteobacteria; Burkholderiales; Burkholderiaceae
Also listed under: 2 other names
Rfam family: tRNA
About the family: Transfer RNA (tRNA) molecules are approximately 80 nucleotides in length. Their secondary structure includes four short double-helical elements and three loops (D, anti-codon, and T loops).
Source: Rfam by way of RNAcentral
GGGUCUUUAGCUCAGUUGGUUAGAGCACUGUGUUGAUAACGCAGGGGUCGAUGGUUCGAGUCCAUCAAGACCCA